UCCUUGGUCACCGGUCAGUCCGG
This 23-nucleotide microRNA is filed under the name Bombyx mori (domestic silkworm). Its description in RNAcentral is "bmo-miR-3211". The record is from miRBase by way of RNAcentral. Lineage: Eukaryota; Metazoa; Arthropoda; Insecta; Lepidoptera; Bombycidae.